This is a non-coding RNA of Aegilops tauschii subsp. strangulata, 2013 nucleotides long. NCBI's taxonomy places the organism in Eukaryota, Viridiplantae, Streptophyta, Magnoliopsida, Poales, Poaceae. The record is from RefSeq and is a predicted model, not a curated record.
GCGAUAACAAACUGAGCGGCAGAGGCGGGCGUAGCCGCGAGCGAAAGCUUCUCUGUGUACAAAUCGACUUCCAUCGAUGCCACUCGUCGGUAGCCCUCGCCACGGCCCGCCGCUGAAGCUCGCCGGCCGCGCCCAGCGCCGGCCUCCGCCCCGCACCAUUGCGCCCAAAUGCGAUAUCUCCUCCCCUCCUGCGCGCCUAACCAGGAGAGCCGUUUCCGCCGCCUCGCUGCUCCUCACCGCCCUCCCUUUCCCCGCCUCGUCACCGCAACUCCCCGUGGCCUCCGCGUCGGAAACGGAGGAAGAAGUCGGGGGAGGAGAAGGAGGCGCACCAGCGCUGGAGUUGGAGCGGUACACGGACCAGGACCAGGGGUUCACCCUCCUCAAGCCCACCUCAUGGCCCAAGGUGGAAAAGGCGGGCGCGACGGCGCUGUUUCAGCAAGAGGGGAAGGGGAGUAACAAUAUUGGGGUUGUCGUCAACCCUGUUCGCCUCUCCUCGCUGAAGGAUUUCGGUACACCGCAGUUUGUCGCAGACAGGCUUCUACAGGCAGAGAAGAAAAAGGGAACUUUAUGUUUUCGCAGGUUGUGUCCACAGAUCGUGUUUGGUUGGGUGCAUAUCCUUGCCCUCAGUUUCAGCAUCCAGGGGAACUGCAUGUGAUUUCAUUAGAAGAAGAAGAAUUACAUAUGACCAAGACAAGCCAUCCGAAGCGACCCAAAAUACACGGCAACAGCGCCAACCAGCAACAUAACCAAGUAACACCACAGCAACAGCUAAACCAAAAGCUAACCUCGGCCUUCAGCUGGUUGAUAACCUGAAGGAUCGGAGUGUGCUUUUUUUCCAGUCUUGCAGAACUUCAGUUAUCUGCAUGAUGUGUUUUACAGGAGGUAGCAUAGUUCUACUGGUGUCUAGUGCCAGGAAUGGGUUUCCUUCUUUGGUGUGCUCUCAAACUGUUUUUAGUCCUGUCAGGACUGGGUUUCCUUCUUUGGUGUGCUCUCAAACUGUUUUUAGUCCUGCAAGGAUACCAUAAGUAAAGUACUAACAUAGUGAUUUUACUUCAGUUAGGAACAUUUUUGUGUUUGAAUCAACAUUAUUUCAAGGGGUACAGAGAACUGAACUACCAACCUGAAUCCAAUAUCACAUGCCUAUAAGGUUUCACGUUCUAACAAACGCCCGUCAGAAUGGGAACUGCUACAGUUGCCAUGUGUGUUAAAUAAAGACUUCAUAAUAGUGGACUAAUACUGAAGCCCCAUAUUAUUCUAACUUGCACAAGUUGGAAGAUUGCAGAAGUCAAUGCAGAAUCAGAUGAUCAAGUUUAAACCGGUAAGAAGAUGAUGCAAAUCAAUAAUUGUGUGUCUGAUUGUUUACCGAUCUACUGUUGCUUAUGCUUUUUCGCUGACAUCCACGGAUGGGACAUAAAAGUUGCAUCCGUAUGCUCCUUUCCUUAAAUGCAGGAAAGUUCUGUGUAUACAGAAGUAAUUUCUGGAAAAGGGAGACCUGGUAGCAGUGGCACUAUUGGGUUGAUGGCAAUGUUCUUCUGGCUUCCGUUUGUUGCUUGUAAAAAUAUUUGUGUACGCAGCAUGCAUGACCAGAUAGUCCUCACGUGAAGUGAUCGGACAGUCAGACUUAAAUGACCAUUGGAAUAAGUCUUCUGUCAUCUGAUUGUUCAUUUCUGAUCUCUUAGACAUGAGAGGGUGUGAAUGGAUUUGGAGACUUCCAGGCUGCAGAAUGUGAACAUGCCGGCAUAUUACCAUACUCCAGCAUUUCGUGAAGCGAGGGCGACAACUGAUCCUCUCUACAAACGGCUAUUUAUUAUAAUUUGCCUAUUGCACGCUUCUGUUUGUUUGACUCGUUUACACCUGCGUAUAUGCAAUUAAUGUCCAGACUUCACUCUUCAGGUAAUUUUCAUUUUAAAUCGCUUAAAUUGUCAUAUGUGCACACAGUUAAACCUAUUUACAUCAUUAGUUAGGAAUAUCUGGCGGAUCAGUGGUGUAUAUAGACUAUAAAUGAUUCGAUCA